RNAcentral lists this ribosomal RNA (222 nucleotides) under uncultured bacterium. RNAcentral's name for it is "partial 16S ribosomal RNA". It matches the Rfam family "Bacterial small subunit ribosomal RNA", at positions 524 to 747 of the family's 1533-position model. The record is from RNAcentral.
UACGUAGGAGGCGAGCGUUGUCCGGAGUUACUGGGCGUAAAGCGCACGCAGGCGGUCAGAUCAGUCUGGAGUGACAGUCUCGGCUUAACCGACGAAGUGUUCUGGAAACUGUCUGACUUGAGGGCUUCAGAGGGACACGGAAUUCCGGGUGGAGUGGUGAAAUGCGUAGAUAUCCGGAGGAACACCAAUGCGAAGGCAGUGUCCUGGGAAGUACCUGACGCU